Molecule: small RNA, 171 nt
Filed under: Phascolarctos cinereus (koala)
Lineage: Eukaryota; Metazoa; Chordata; Mammalia; Diprotodontia; Phascolarctidae
Description: TUC338 (ENSPCIG00000005875.2)
Source: RNAcentral
GGGAAUUGAACGGAGGUUUUCCAUUUAUUCACAGAACAAGUACUGUACUCCCCGCUGCAGUGCAAGCUUGCCCACAGUAUUCAGCCAGUGUGCUUACACCCUGACCUGGAGGGACCACGCUAAGGGUGAGCGUGCUAUUUGGUCUCCAUGCUCAUUCAAUCUCGAUUCAGU